RNAcentral lists this long non-coding RNA (241 nucleotides) under Trifolium pratense (red clover). RNAcentral describes it as "long non-coding RNA (TPRA_LNC004066)". The record is from RNAcentral. Lineage: Eukaryota; Viridiplantae; Streptophyta; Magnoliopsida; Fabales; Fabaceae.
UUUACUUAUUUUCUCUUUGAAAAUCAAGAUCCUACGUUCUGCCAUAUUUCUUAAGAGGUCAUUUAGGGAUUUUAUUUAACCCUUAAGAUGCGAUCGACCCCUCCAAAAUCAUAAAUUUUAGUUGAGAUUGUUCUCUUUAAAUGAUAGUAUCGCAUUCCACACUUUUGAACUGAAUUAUAUAAUAUGUUAUAUGUUAUUAUUACUUUAACCUUUCAGUUCAUAUGAUAUGAUUCCGACUUCU